GCGGGAGUAGCUCAAUUGGCAGAGCGCGAGUUUUCCAAACUCGAGGUUGCGGGUUCGAGACCCGUCUCCCGCUCCG
This 76-nucleotide transfer RNA is filed under the name Chloroflexota bacterium. RNAcentral describes it as "Chloroflexi bacterium (soil metagenome) tRNA-Gly". It matches the Rfam family "tRNA". From Rfam's summary of the family: Transfer RNA (tRNA) molecules are approximately 80 nucleotides in length. Their secondary structure includes four short double-helical elements and three loops (D, anti-codon, and T loops). Further hydrogen bonds mediate the characteristic L-shaped molecular structure. tRNAs have two regions of fundamental functional importance: the anti-codon, which is responsible for specific mRNA codon recognition, and the 3' end, to which the tRNAs corresponding amino acid is attached (by aminoacyl-tRNA synthetases). tRNAs cope with the degeneracy of the genetic code in two manners: having more than one tRNA (with a specific anti-codon) for a particular amino acid; and 'wobble' base-pairing, i.e. permitting non-standard base-pairing at the 3rd anti-codon position. The record is from RNAcentral. Lineage: Bacteria; Bacillati; Chloroflexota.